GUGGGGAAUCUUGCGCAAUGGGCGAAAGCCUGACGCAGCCAUGCCGCGUGAAUGAUGAAGGUCUUAGGAUUGUAAAAUUCUUUCACCGGGGACGAUGAUGACGGUACCCGGAGAAGAAGCCCCGGCUAACUUCGUGCCAGCAGCCGCGGUAAUACGAAGGGGGCUAGCGUUGCUCGGAAUUACUGGGCGUAAAGGGCGCGUAGGCGGACAGUUUAGUCAGAGGUGAAAGCCCAGGGCUCAACCUUGGAAUUGCCUUUGAUACUGGCUGUCUUGAGUACGGGAGAGGUGAGUGGAACUCCGAGUGUAGAGGUGAAAUUCGUAGAUAUUCGGAAGAACACCAGUGGCGAAGGCGACUCACUGGCCCGUUACUGACGCUGAGGCGCGAAAGCGUGGGGAGCAAACAGGAUUAGAUACCCCGGUAGUCC
RNAcentral lists this ribosomal RNA (425 nucleotides) under uncultured bacterium. RNAcentral's name for it is "partial 16S ribosomal RNA". It matches the Rfam family "Bacterial small subunit ribosomal RNA", at positions 354 to 796 of the family's 1533-position model. The record is from RNAcentral.